Molecule: long non-coding RNA, 214 nt
Filed under: Homo sapiens (human)
Lineage: Eukaryota; Metazoa; Chordata; Mammalia; Primates; Hominidae
Description: HSALNT0245959
Source: RNAcentral
AACAAUCUCACGCAAUCCUGUUAAGUACACACCACGGAGGACUGGAGGGCCACGGGUCGGGGCUGCUUCCCCUGGCCCUGCCCAGCGAACAGAUGGCAGCGUGGGCGUUAGGUACCAGCCUCCUGGCAAUCUGAACAUCUGUUCCCGUUAGAAAAUGCUAAUUGCCAUCAAUCAGGACAGCACCUACCCACAUUUACAUGCAAGCACACAUGCA